This is a long non-coding RNA of Hordeum vulgare subsp. vulgare (domesticated barley), 301 nucleotides long. RefSeq lists it as uncharacterized. Lineage: Eukaryota; Viridiplantae; Streptophyta; Magnoliopsida; Poales; Poaceae. The transcript has 3 exons. The record is from RefSeq and is a predicted model, not a curated record.
UGGUUCUUUAUUUCUCAAGUACUCUCAGUUCCUACCCAUCUUGUGCUUUCGGACGUGGAUCAGUUUGAUACUAUCCUUGACAUGGAAAAAGAUGAGUUGGCUCCUGAGAUAGAAGAGGAAGAAGAAGGCGAGAUAGAGUAUGUUGAAGGUGAUGAUAUCGAGAUAGGUGACAUGGAUGAUAUGGAAGAUUUUGAAGGCUUUGGUGAUGAAGAUGGUGGAAGAAGACGAGGACAGGGGUAGCAGGCAAAGGAUGCGAAUGUGAUUCUCUAGGCACGGCUUCAGUAACAUGCUUGGUGUCGAU